CCUACGGGGGGCUGCAGUGAGGAAUAUUGGUCAAUGGGCGCGAGCCUGAACCAGCCAAGUAGCGUGAAGGAUGACUGCCCUACGGGUUGUAAACUUCUUUUAUAAAGGAAUAAAGUGAGGCACGUGUGCCUUUUUGUAUGUACUUUAUGAAUAAGGAUCGGCUAACUCCGUGCCAGCAGCCGCGGUAAUACGGAGGAUCCGAGCGUUAUCCGGAUUUAUUGGGUUUAAAGGGAGCGUAGGCGGCAAAAUAAGUCUGAAGUAAAAGGCGUUGGCUCAACCAACGUAAGCUUUGGAAACUGUUAAGCUAGCGUGCAGGAGAGGUUAGUGGAAUUCCAUGUGUAGCGGUAAAAUGCGUAGAUAUAUGGAGGAACACCAGUGGCGAAGGCGGCUAACUGGCCUGUAACGGACGCUGAGGCACGAAAGCGUGGGGAGCAAAUAGGAUUAGAUACCCCAGUAGUC
This 459-nucleotide ribosomal RNA is filed under the name uncultured bacterium. RNAcentral's name for it is "partial 16S ribosomal RNA". It matches the Rfam family "Bacterial small subunit ribosomal RNA", at positions 338 to 795 of the family's 1533-position model. The record is from RNAcentral.